Molecule: long non-coding RNA, 216 nt
Filed under: Pan troglodytes (chimpanzee)
Lineage: Eukaryota; Metazoa; Chordata; Mammalia; Primates; Hominidae
Description: long non-coding RNA NONPTRT009938
Source: RNAcentral
UGAUUGGCAUUUGAAAAUCUCUCUCUCAUUUACUAAAUACAUGUGAAAUUGAAACAGCCUCGUUGUCUGGGGUAAUAUCUGAGGUUUGUUGUCUCAUGGCCAGGGAGAACACCUUCUCAGAAUGAAUCUGUGUAAUUGGAUCUGUGAGGUAUGCUUAGUUGCCAUUUACCUGAGUCUGUUUCCAAAAAUGACAGAACAAAAGACUAUUACAAGAGA